Molecule: ribosomal RNA, 524 nt
Filed under: Epicoccum nigrum
Lineage: Eukaryota; Fungi; Ascomycota; Dothideomycetes; Pleosporales; Didymellaceae
Description: eukaryotic LSU rRNA
Rfam family: 5.8S ribosomal RNA (bases 149-302)
Source: RNAcentral
GGCUUAAAAGCGUUAGUAGACUUCGGUCUGCUACCUCUUACCCAUGUCUUUUGAGUACCUUCGUUUCCUCGGCGGGUCCGCCCGCCGAUUGGACAACAUUCAAACCCUUUGCAGUUGCAAUCAGCGUCUGAAAAAACAUAAUAGUUACAACUUUCAACAACGGAUCUCUUGGUUCUGGCAUCGAUGAAGAACGCAGCGAAAUGCGAUAAGUAGUGUGAAUUGCAGAAUUCAGUGAAUCAUCGAAUCUUUGAACGCACAUUGCGCCCCUUGGUAUUCCAUGGGGCAUGCCUGUUCGAGCGUCAUUUGUACCUUCAAGCUCUGCUUGGUGUUGGGUGUUUUGUCUCGCCUCUGCGUGUAGACUCGCCUUAAAACAAUUGGCAGCCGGCGUAUUGAUUUCGGAGCGCAGUACAUCUCGCGCUUUGCACUCAUAACGGCGACGUCCAAAAGUACAUUUUUACACUCUUGACCUCGGAUCAGGUAGGGAUACCCGCUGAACUUAAGCAUAUCAAUAAGGCGGAGGAAAA